ACAAAGCCAGGGUCCCAUCAUCAUUAGUGGUGGUGGUGGUGGAGGAGGAGGAGGUGGUUCAGGCCACCAGGGUCAAGGUCCCAUCUGCAUUGGAGGUGGCAGUGGAGGAGGAGGAGGAGGAGGUG
This is a non-coding RNA of Lonchura striata (white-rumped munia), 125 nucleotides long. NCBI's taxonomy places the organism in Eukaryota, Metazoa, Chordata, Aves, Passeriformes, Estrildidae. The record is from RefSeq and is a predicted model, not a curated record.